Molecule: unclassified non-coding RNA, 388 nt
Filed under: uncultured Phycisphaerae bacterium
Lineage: Bacteria; Pseudomonadati; Planctomycetota; Phycisphaerae
Description: contains 16S-23S intergenic spacer region
Source: RNAcentral
UCCGGCUUGACGCCGGCAGUCUCGCUAGAGUCCCCGGCAUUACCCGCUGGCAACUAGCGACAAGGGUUUCGCUCGUUAAGCGACUUAACGCGACACUUCACAGCACGAGCUGACGACAGCCAUGCAACACCUGUGGAAGUUUCACCCCGAAGGGCAAUUUUUCGAGUUAUCCCCGAAAAACAUCCAACCAUGUCAAACCCGGGUCAGGUUCUUCGCGUUGCUUCGAAUUAAGCCACAUGCUCCACCGCUUGUGUGAGCCCCCGUCAAUUCCUUUGAGUUUUAGCCUUGCGGCCGUACUCCCCAGGCGGCACACUUAUCAUUUUUACUCCGGCUCGGGUGCCGUAAGAGACUCCCAAGCCUAGUGUGCAUCGUUUACGGCGUAGACUAC